Molecule: non-coding RNA, 93 nt
Organism: Pangasius djambal
Lineage: Eukaryota; Metazoa; Chordata; Actinopteri; Siluriformes; Pangasiidae
Source: the annotation of a GenBank genome assembly
GGCUCCGUGGCGCAAUGGAUAGCGCAUUGGACUUCUAGGCAAAACACUAGCGAUGUGAUUCAAAGGUUGUGGGUUCGAGUCCCACCGGAGUCG